CAUGUAUAUGUGUAUAUGUAUAUGUGUACUUGUAUAUGUGCACAUGUAUAUGUGUACUUGUAUAUGUGUACAUGUAUAUGUGUACUUAGUUGAUUUCUAUCCAAAGCAGUAAAUUGUGAUUCCUAUUAUGAAGUUAUAACCCAUAAGCAUGUUACAUUGAAUAAUCGUGUCUUCUUUACAUUUAAAACUUCAAUGCUGCUGUAGGGAUGUUUUUUCUUGUUAGAGAAGUUAAAUAUUUAAACUUUUAUUAGUCCAUCCAUACUUUUUUUAUUAUUUGAUAUCUUUUUCCCAACAAGAAACAAAAACUUUUGAUCUGAAAU
This 320-nucleotide long non-coding RNA is filed under the name Mytilus galloprovincialis (Mediterranean mussel). Lineage: Eukaryota; Metazoa; Mollusca; Bivalvia; Mytilida; Mytilidae. The record is from RNAcentral.